Molecule: long non-coding RNA, 1636 nt
Filed under: Amphibalanus amphitrite
Lineage: Eukaryota; Metazoa; Arthropoda; Thecostraca; Balanomorpha; Balanidae
Description: uncharacterized LOC122373454, transcript variant X2
Source: RNAcentral
GUACGAUUGUACCGUAUGUUUGUGAGGGUACCGAACUUCUGGCGGAUCUAAGGGGGGACAUUUGGGGCAAAUGCCCCUCCCCCCUGCAGCGCCCAAAAUCGACGAAAAUGUUCGUUUUUUCGAGGAUAAAACGAAAACUAAACUUUUCUUAGAAAAAAGUAUCUUUUAAACUGCACAGCAGUGCGAAAGGAGUCGAAAUCCGAUGAGUUUUUAGAAUUUGGAGAAACUUUUUGGGGGUAGGUAUGCCCCCCGCAGCGUCCAAGACCGCUUUUCUGGAUCCGCCAAUGAGAUUUGGAGGAAUCUGGAGGAUUUUUGUAACUGAUCUGGAGGAUUACAGCCUUCUACAUCUGGCAGCACUGCCGAAAAUCUGAGAAACGCGAUUUGACCUUGGACGUGCCCCGUGCCAGUGCACUGGCCUUAGGGGUGCUGAAGAACUUGAUUUGGAUGCCGGCGGCGGCGACGACAGUGCGCCGGCGCACAUCUCUAUGGAGGUGGACACGGCGACCCGUGGGCGACCGCCGCUGCCGCGGUUUGCUACAGGUGGCCAUGGCCACUAAUCUGUCACGAACUUCUGACAGUGAACGCCAGUCGGUUCUCGGAUGUGAGGACGCGCCCGUCGAAUCAAGUGACGGAGAUGCACCGUGUGACAGUGUGCGUUUUCCGGGCGAGUUCGUUGCGCUGUGUGCCGGUCGUGCGCGGGACUGGUACCACCCGUCGUUCCACCAGUUAUCAGUGCUGCAGCGCGCCGUGCGCGAUCUCAGUGCCGCCGUCGAGGAGACUGUGCGCCGCGAGCUGCCGCCCGAGGACCGGCCGGCGCUGACCCGGCUGUAGCCGCUGGCUGACGGCGCGCUGUCGCUGCGUCCGCCGACCCUGCGCCGGCCGCGCCGGGAGGCCGAGCUGCUGACCCAGCUGCAGCAGCUGGCGGUGGCCCUGGACGGCGCCUGCCCCCUGGUGGCGGGUGGCAGCUGCGGGAGCCACGUGACGCCGUCUGCGCUCUCGGCAGCGCGCCACCUGGAGCCGCAUGCAGACCGCGUUGCCAGAGCUGCGUCGUCUGACGUCGGGUCUGCUGCGACUGGUGACGCGCCAGAGGACGCGCUGGUCACCGCCGCGAGCCCGGAUCGAGACGGACACGGAGACAGUUCCGAACGGAGCCUCCCUCACCAGGUCUCUGAAUGGAGCUGCGUUCCGGUGGGCGGCUGACUGCGCUCUCUCGGUCUGGCCCAGUACGCCGACGCGUUCGUCGCCCGCUCUGUGGAUGGCGCCCGGCUUCUGGGGCUCACCGAACAGGCUAUGGAAGACGAGCCUGACGUCGGUCUCGACGUGGCGACCUCGGAGCCAGCGUGUUGGGUCUCGGCUUCCCGCCACUCACCGGCGGACCUUUCCGCUUCGUGGACCGCAUCGGUCCCGCACAGCUAGUCAAGGACAUGGAGCGCUUCGCCGUCGUCAAUGGCGUCGGCUUCGAGCCGUGCCUGACCGUGCACUACCAGGCCGCUAGCGGCACCAAGUUCUGUUCGGCCGGGCCUCGUGUAAUGCCCACAUGUGAUGACCGAGUGUAUACGCAUGUGAAGCCGCUCCGCGUGUGUACCAGCGCUGGGCGUGUUCAGUUUCAAAGUAAAUAUAGAACCCUGGUGAUCAA